Molecule: transfer RNA, 77 nt
Filed under: Clostridia bacterium
Lineage: Bacteria; Bacillati; Bacillota; Clostridia
Description: tRNA-Pro
Rfam family: tRNA
About the family: Transfer RNA (tRNA) molecules are approximately 80 nucleotides in length. Their secondary structure includes four short double-helical elements and three loops (D, anti-codon, and T loops). Further hydrogen bonds mediate the characteristic L-shaped molecular structure. tRNAs have two regions of fundamental functional importance: the anti-codon, which is responsible for specific mRNA codon recognition, and the 3' end, to which the tRNAs corresponding amino acid is attached (by aminoacyl-tRNA synthetases). tRNAs cope with the degeneracy of the genetic code in two manners: having more than one tRNA (with a specific anti-codon) for a particular amino acid; and 'wobble' base-pairing, i.e. permitting non-standard base-pairing at the 3rd anti-codon position.
Source: RNAcentral
CGGGGCGUAGCGUAGUUUGGUAGCGCAUCUGGUUUGGGACCAGAGGGUCGGGGGUUCAAAUCCCUCCGCCCCGACCA